CCCUUAGAUGUUCUGGGCCGCACGCGCGCUACACUGAUGCAUUCAACGAGUUUCUUCCUGGUCCGAGAGGAAUGGGUAACCUUUUGAAAGUGCAUCGUGAUAGGGAUAGACUAUUGCAAUUAUUGGUCUUCAACGAGGAAUUCCUAGUAGACGUAGUUCAUCAGACUGCAUCGAUUACGUCCCUGCCCUUUGUACACACCGCCCGUCGCUCCAACCGAUUGAAUGCUCAGGUGAGCCAUUCGGACUUUCAUCAUGCUGGUUUCCAGUUUUGAUGAAGGAAAGUCUUGCGAACCUUAUCAUUUAGAGGAAGGAGAAGUCGUAACA
This 324-nucleotide ribosomal RNA is filed under the name uncultured eukaryote. RNAcentral describes it as "partial 18S ribosomal RNA". It matches the Rfam family "Eukaryotic small subunit ribosomal RNA", at positions 1470 to 1796 of the family's 1831-position model. The record is from RNAcentral.